This 1030-nucleotide long non-coding RNA is filed under the name Anser cygnoides (Swan goose). Its description in RNAcentral is "lncRNA (ENSACDG00005002929.1)". The record is from RNAcentral. Lineage: Eukaryota; Metazoa; Chordata; Aves; Anseriformes; Anatidae.
AUGGCUCCCGGGGCUCCCCGCUCCGUUCCCCCAGCCCGGGGCUGCCGGGGGGGACAGGGAGGGGACAGUGGGGUGCAAGUGGGGAGGAGGAUCCUGGAGCUGCACAGAGCAGGGUGUAGGGGAAGCCGCUGGUUUGCAGCAUCACUGCCAGCAGGGCGGGGGGGGGCUGAGCACUGCGGUGCCGGGUGCCCCAGGGGACUGCGCACGUGGCUCUGCGUGCUGCUGGGGGGUGAGGGGAAGCCCCAGCGUGGGGCCAAGGGGCCACACAGCUCCAAAGCACGCAGACAGCCCAGGCAGGAUGGUGUGCACCCAGCCUGCUGCCUCUCAGGGGGGCACAGCCUCAGUCCUGGAUCCACAUCUCGCAUCCCGGCGAUGCUGGAGGGCUCAGCUCCAUCCUGCCCACCCCCGGAUCCCCGCGCUCCGCCGGGAGGGACAGCGCAGUCAGCUCAUGGGGACCAAGGGCUGCCUGAGGUUUCAGCGGUGUGGGGCCGCGUGGGGCGCAAUGCUGGGGCCGGAGGGUUUCCCUCCCACUCUCGGGCUCCCACCUCUUCCCCUUUUAUUUCCUGUGGCCCCAGGUGGGCUCGGCAUCAUCAGCCCAGGGGGUUGCCAAGGCGCCCUGCGGCAGGGCAUGGGCUAGCGGCAAAGAGAGACCGAAAGCAUGCGGGAGAUCACACAGCAGGGGUUGCUCCCUGGGUGCGUGCCGAGGCACUGAGUCAAAGCCAGAGGCUUUCAGGGCCAGCAAGAAAAAUCCCCGCCAGCUGUGGCCCCGUGUCCCCCACGUCACCUGCAGCAGCAGGGUUUUCUCCAGCAGGCACCUGCCGGGCAGCUGCAGGGGCCGUGGGGCAGCAGCAUGGGGAAUGCCCCAGCGUGGGGCCGUGGGGUCUGCCCCGAUCUGGGGAGGGCAGGGGGGUGAGUCCCCCGUGAUUCCCCCUCGUCCUUCCCUGUCACACCGCGUGGGGAGGAGCGGGGGGGACAGCUUAAGCUAUCAAUGGUCCUGCCUUGAUGGGAAUAAAAUAUGCACUGAAAGACA